UGUAGGAGCCGGCUUGCUGGCGAUGGCAUCACUGCGGUGCAUCUGCCACACCGAAGUAAGGCCAUCGCCAGCAAGCCGGCUCCUACA
This 87-nucleotide unclassified non-coding RNA is filed under the name Pseudomonas migulae. Lineage: Bacteria; Pseudomonadati; Pseudomonadota; Gammaproteobacteria; Pseudomonadales; Pseudomonadaceae. The record is from RNAcentral.